UCCGUAGGCGGGCGAUUAAGUCAGAGGUGAAAUCCCACAGCUCAACUGUGGAACUGCCUUUGAUACUGGUUGUCUUGAGUUACAGUGAAGUAGAUAGAAUAUGUAGUGUAGCGGUGAAAUGCAUAGAUAUUACAUAGAAUACCGAUUGCGAAGGCAGUCUACUAACUGUUAACUGACGCUAAGGGACGGAAGCGUGGGGAGCGAACAGGAUUAGAUACCCUGGUAGUCC
Molecule: ribosomal RNA, 229 nt
Filed under: uncultured bacterium
Lineage: Bacteria
Description: partial 16S ribosomal RNA
Rfam family: Bacterial small subunit ribosomal RNA
Source: RNAcentral